Molecule: ribosomal RNA, 484 nt
Filed under: uncultured bacterium
Lineage: Bacteria
Description: partial 16S ribosomal RNA
Rfam family: Bacterial small subunit ribosomal RNA
Source: RNAcentral
GAUAAACGUUGGCGGCGUGGAUUAGGCAUGCAAGUCGUACGGGUCGGUGUAGCAAUACAACGGCAAGUGGCGAAAGGGAGAGUAACACGUAGAUACCUACCCUCUGGUCGGGGAUACCGCGGCAUAACCGCAAGUAAUACCCGAUAAAAUCUCCGGAUCAAAGGUGUGAUUCCGCCGGAGGAGGGGUCUGCGUUCUAUCAGCUUGUUGGUGAGGUAAUGGCUCACCAAGGCUAAGACGGAUACGGGGUGUGAGAGCAUGCCCCCGCUCACUGGGACUGAGACACUGCCCAGACACCUGCGGGUGGCUGCAGUCGAGAAUCUUCGGCGAUGGGCGCAAGCCUGACCGAGCGACGCGGCGUGCGGGAUGGAGGCCUUCGGGUUGUAAACCGCUGUCGAGGGGAAUGAAGUGUAGGUGGGUACUCCCAUCUAUUUGACAGAUCCCUGGAGGAAGCAUGGGCUAAGUUCGUGCCAGCCGCCGCAGUAA